GAUGAACGCUGGCGGCGUGCCUAAUACAUGCAAGUCGAGCGAACAGAUGAGGAGCUUGCUCCUCUGACGUUAGCGGCGGACGGGUGAGUAACACGUGGAUAACCUACCUAUAAGACUGGGAUAACUUCGGGAAACCGGAGCUAAUACCGGAUAAUAUAUUGAACCGCAUGGUUCAAUAGUGAAAGACGGUUUUGCUGUCACUUAUAGAUGGAUCCGCGCCGCAUUAGCUAGUUGGUAAGGUAACGGCUUACCAAGGCAACGAUGCGUAGCCGACCUGAGAGGGGGAGGGGCCACCCGGGAAGGGAGACCGGCACCACACUCAUAGGGGGGGAGGCGGGAGGGAUUCGGCGGGAAGGGGGGAAGGACAGAGGACGAAGCGCGGAGGGAGUAUGGAGGGUCUCGGUAUGGAAAACCUCUGUUUUUGGGAAGAAAAAAUCUUGUAGUAAACAAUCACCGUUGGGGGGGUACCAAACAAAAAAGCCCGGGCUAACCACGUG
RNAcentral lists this ribosomal RNA (497 nucleotides) under uncultured bacterium. RNAcentral's name for it is "partial 16S ribosomal RNA". It matches the Rfam family "Bacterial small subunit ribosomal RNA", at positions 28 to 507 of the family's 1533-position model. The record is from RNAcentral.